GCGGCGGGAAGGCGCUAAGAACCGGUUCGGCGCGUCCGCCUGGGCCUGGCUGCUGUCCCGGGCCGCGGCGGGCUGGUCGGCCCCGGUUGCAGCCACGAAGUGACUGACGUGGCCUCUGGGGGGCGACGAGAGCUAUCGCUCCCCGCGUGGCGGAUCCGUUACGCGCCUUAAAUUAUUUAGUCAGGACGUUGUCGCGUGAGACGCUGCCUCCCGCUGGCUCGAACAAAAGAGGUUCCUGCCUCUGUCACAGUGGUGCAAGAACUGGAAUGGAGCUGCUGAUCCCUGGAGCGCAGUCUUUGUUUUAGAUUUGUUUUGCUCAAUUGUCAAGACUGUUUCUUCAUUUUAUCAGAAUAAUUACUAAUCCUGUCUUGAAUAACACAAGGAAAGGAAGAGUAAAGGAGCCCAAUGAGACACACUGGAAAGGAUAUGUUCUUAGGAUGGAGGCCUGUCCUUGAAAACAUGCAUAUGAAUCGACUGUUGCAAAAGGUGUUGCUGGGAGAACUAAUGCCUUGCUUUAAUAUUCUUCUAAUGCUGGAGAGCAAUAAGGGAACCCAUUUUACCGGACAAGUAAUGCAAAAAAUUUGGCCAGCCUUACAAAUAGAACCAAGGUGUCAUUGUGCCCAUCAUCCCUAAUCCAGUGGGGCUACAGAGAGGAGAAACUCCCAUUUUAAAACACAGUUGGCAAAAAAUUGUGCAGAGACUGGCCUAAAAUGUCAGGAUGUGUUACAUCUCCUAGUGAUGUAUACGUAAGAAGGAGUGUGAAUAGAAAAUCUGGGCUGUUGCCUCAUGAGAUUUUAGAGGGCAGACCCAUGUGACUGUCUCACCAAGCACUCCCUACUGUCAAGCAUAAAACUAACAGAUAAUGCUUUUCUGAAAUAUUGCCAGCUGUUAAUGAAAUGUUUAAGGACUUUCCACAGACCGCUGAAAGAUGUUUUACCAGAACCCACCACUGAAGUCUCUCAGUUGUGGAAAUCAGGAGACCGAGUCUACAUUUAGGUAUACCAAUGAGAACAUGUGCUUCAGCUACACUGGAAGGGACCUUAUUGGUUCUGGUAAUUACUAAUGCUGCAGUCAUGUGCAAGGGCCUGCUUGAUGGAUCCAUGCUCCCCAGGGUAAAAGGAUCGUACCAUCUUCAGCUACAACACCGAGCAUAUCACCUCUCACAGCAGAGCUGGAUAAACUUCCUUUGAUCAAAUGUCAACAGAAGUACAGACUUGGAUGAACCUGUUAUUAUCAUCUGAACCUGCUGAUUGUUUUUAGAAAUUGUAGCUCAGGGUUUCGCAUUUGGGUUUGUAUUAUUACUGAUCAUAUGUUAACCUGUAGGAAUUGUUAUGUGAUAAGAACUUAAGGAAUGAAAGAUUAUGAGGGGUAUGUGAGUCUAAGGCCCGUAAGAUAGCGUCUGUUCAUUGGACUGGCACUUGUGCAUUAAUGUGUUGGGUUUUUUUUCUUGGCCUUUCAGUACAACGAGACCUCUCCCAUAAGGACAGAUACAACUUAGCUCAGCAUACCAAACAACACAUAAAAUAUUCUGUGCAAAGUACUUGUUAUUUGGAAAACUGGCUUCCGCCAGUCUGUAUCAUAAUCAGAAUUAUAAAGGGCUAUUGUAAGUAUAUCUGCUGUAAUGGAAGAGAUGGGUAGUGCUAUUUCAGCCUUACAGUAAGAGGUACAACAGGCAUCUCAGCCCUGCAAAACAGAAUAACAUUUGAUUAUGUGCUUGUCACUCAAGGAAGGUACUUGGAUACUGGUUAACGCCACUUGCUGCACAGAUACAGACCAAGAUCAGACAAUAGAAAUGGACAAACAUAAAAUUCAAGUUAACAUUCGGAUACUGCAUGAAACAUGUGGUGAAAAAUCUUUUUGACUGGUGGGGUUGGCUCCCAAACUGGAAAGGAUGGUUAGAAAAAACUACCUAAGACAACACUGAGGUACAAUUUGUUGUGUUCAUUAACUUCAGUGUUUGUGCAUAUAUUAGUUCAUUUGAUUUUACAUUGUAGCCAAUUGGUAUGUAAAAAUGUAGAGCACAGCAAAAAGCAAGCAGAGGCCAGAACAAAAAUGCUGAAUAUGUUAGAGGAUAAGAAAGAAAAAAAAGAAGUGCUGCACUAAUGACGAUAAAUUAUUAAAAGCCUAAGGGCAGGAAUGGAUGAUGGGACAUUAAGGCCACAUGGUGAUCAAUCCCGGGGUCCCACAAGUCA
Long non-coding RNA from Grus americana (Whooping crane), 2192 nucleotides. RefSeq lists it as uncharacterized. The transcript is spliced from 4 exons. NCBI's taxonomy places the organism in Eukaryota, Metazoa, Chordata, Aves, Gruiformes, Gruidae. The record is from RefSeq and is a predicted model, not a curated record.